CAUUGAUUGGCUUCAGAAGAGUGAAUAUUUCAUACCAGAGGUUUAAAAGAUGUGAACACGACAAGGGCAAUCACCCCCAGCUCAUGACUCUUCCAAAGAACUCAGGUCCUGCUUGCAAUGGGGUCCUGGCUGCAAAUCUACUCCAUGUCAAAUCAUCUGUUUCCUCCAAGCCACCAUAAUUGCAUGAAUGGCUAGUGUCCUAUCUCUCCUCAUAAUGCGGGCAGGAGAAUGAAGGAGAAUAAAUGGGACAGUGUCUCAAACUGA
Molecule: long non-coding RNA, 264 nt
Filed under: Gallus gallus (chicken)
Lineage: Eukaryota; Metazoa; Chordata; Aves; Galliformes; Phasianidae
Description: long non-coding RNA NONGGAT004573
Source: RNAcentral